This 393-nucleotide long non-coding RNA is filed under the name Ananas comosus (pineapple). RNAcentral describes it as "long non-coding RNA (ACOM_LNC001938)". The record is from RNAcentral. Lineage: Eukaryota; Viridiplantae; Streptophyta; Magnoliopsida; Poales; Bromeliaceae.
CUCGAGGUAGUCGGUUUUCAAAAUAGAGUUUCCGUGUGGGAAACAGUUUUCAAAAGAUUUUUGAAUGAUUUUCAUGUAUGAAUGAAUUAGAUUUUAAAAACAAAAGCUUCUGUGUGGGGAGCACUUUUAAAUAGGAUGAUUGUUGUACUGUGCAUUGCAUCAUCCAACGUCUAAGGAGUGUUUAGAGGCAUGCAUCAUCUCUAAGGAUUGUUAGCUGUAUGAAAAUGUAUAACAUGAAUUGGUUGCUGAUUGGUAAAUGUAGGUUGUGGUUGUGAUCCUGUUGUAUCCGUUGGUACGCCGUGCAAAUACAAAGGAGACUCUGUCCGAGUGAACGGAUGAACUUUGUAUUUGUGGCGGGUCUGUACGUCACGUGGGCCAGGUUGGAAAAAAAAA